This 253-nucleotide ribosomal RNA is filed under the name uncultured bacterium. RNAcentral's name for it is "partial 16S ribosomal RNA". It matches the Rfam family "Bacterial small subunit ribosomal RNA", at positions 524 to 776 of the family's 1533-position model. The record is from RNAcentral.
UACGGAGGGUGCGGGCGUUGUCCGGAAUCACUGGGCGUAAAGGGCGCGUAGGCGGCCUGAUAAGUAGGGGGUGAAAUCCUGAGGCUUAACCUCAGGGCUGCCUUCUAAACUGUCGGGCUCGAGCACAGUAGAGGCAGGUGGAAUUCCCGGUGUAGCGGUGGAAUGCGUAGAGAUCGGGAAGAACAUCAGUGGCGAAGGCGGCCUGCUGGGCUGUUGCUGACGCUGAGGCGCGACAGCGUGGGGAGCAAACAGG